AUUUUGGGAAUUUUGGGGCUUACAACCUUUAAAUUGUUCAAAUCUUCGUUAUUGUGUUCUAGGGCUUACAAGCAUGUAACUCUGGAUUUUAUGUUUGAAUUGUUGAUAACUGUUUCAACUCCGUCUUGAUCUAUCCCCAGGCUAUAAGUGACAACGUAGCAGUCAAAUGGUGAUCAAUUGACCAGAGGAGUCGAGCGGUCAAGAGGCGGGCAGCCGACAGUGCGUUGGGUUGUUGGGUGGCCUUCUCAGCUGUGUUUUCUGUUAUCUUGCUCUUCUCUCAUUCGAUUUUGAUGCGCGGUUUCUACCGAUUGGGAUGCAAGGUUUGAAGAGGUCAGUUCAGGUUGCAAGGCGUAUGAAGUCGUCGGUUUGAUAUAAGUUAGAACUUUUUAUUUGUUAUUUUUUUUGGGAUGCUAAGUUUUGAAGAGGUCAGUUCGGAUUCAGGUCACAGUUUACGUUUUGUGUUUCGUUCAGUAAACAUGUACCUUUUAGAAACAUGUUUAAUAUAAGUUUGAAUUUUUUUGUUUGUUA
RNAcentral lists this long non-coding RNA (528 nucleotides) under Helianthus annuus (common sunflower). RNAcentral's name for it is "hypothetical non coding rna". Lineage: Eukaryota; Viridiplantae; Streptophyta; Magnoliopsida; Asterales; Asteraceae. The record is from RNAcentral.